Molecule: signal recognition particle RNA, 97 nt
Filed under: Deltaproteobacteria bacterium
Lineage: Bacteria; Pseudomonadati; Myxococcota; Myxococcia
Description: signal recognition particle sRNA small type
Rfam family: Bacterial small signal recognition particle RNA
About the family: The signal recognition particle (SRP) is a universally conserved ribonucleoprotein involved in the co-translational targeting of proteins to membranes. Archaeal SRP consists of a 7S RNA and homologues of the eukaryotic SRP19 and SRP54 proteins. In most bacteria, the SRP consists of a 4.5S RNA and the Ffh protein (a homologue of the eukaryotic SRP54 protein).
Source: RNAcentral
AGUCGGGCCCUGGAUGACCGGUAGAGGUGAACUCCGCCAGGCCCGGAAGGGAGCAACGGUAGCCUCGAUCCCGGGGUGUCCAGCCAGCCCGGCUGUC